UGCCAGACUCCUACGGGAGGCAGCAGUGAGGAAUAUUGGUCAAUGGGCGCGAGCCUGAACCAGCCAAGUCGCGUGAGGGAAGACGGUCCUAUGGAUUGUAAACCUCUUUAGGCGGGGAGCAAUGCCGGGCACGCGUGUCCGGAGGGAGAGUACCCGCAGAAUAAGCAUCGGCUAACUCCGUGCCAGCAGCCGCGGUAAUACGGAGGAUGCGAGCGUUAUCCGGAUUUAUUGGGUUUAAAGGGUGCGUAGGCGGAUUUUUAAGUCAGCGGUAAAAUGUCCGGGCUCAACCCGGGCCGGCCGUUGAAACUGGGGAUCUUGAGUGGGCGAGAAGUAUGCGGAAUGCGUGGUGUAGCGGUGAAAUGCAUAGAUAUCACGCAGAACUCCGAUUGCGAAGGCAGCAUACCGGCGCCCGACUGACGCUGAGGCACGAAAGCGUGGGGAUCGAACAGGAUUAGAUACCCCAGUACUU
RNAcentral lists this ribosomal RNA (469 nucleotides) under uncultured bacterium. RNAcentral's name for it is "bacterial SSU rRNA". It matches the Rfam family "Bacterial small subunit ribosomal RNA", at positions 329 to 795 of the family's 1533-position model. The record is from RNAcentral.